Molecule: long non-coding RNA, 608 nt
Filed under: Agrilus planipennis (emerald ash borer)
Lineage: Eukaryota; Metazoa; Arthropoda; Insecta; Coleoptera; Buprestidae
Description: uncharacterized LOC112904691, transcript variant X1
Source: RNAcentral
AAUAAAAAUUAUGCAAAACUAGUUAAUUUAAAAUUCAGAAAUAAAAGUCCCCCACCGUUUCCAAAGAGUUGCCUUCCUAUAAAAUGCAGAAAAAAACAUCUAAAAAUGUUUUAAGUUCUUUUGAUUGCAUUCACAAAUGUAUCUUUUCAUAGUUAUUACCAAAGAGUUCCCUUCUUCUUUAUGAAUUAUUGAUGAAAAAUACCGGAAUACGGUUUUUCGUCAGUAUGUUCAAUAAAGUGUAAUUAAAAUUUUUAUACCAUUCCCUGGUGUGAAAACAAAAAAAAACAUCUAAUAAUUUGAUUAAGAAAAACUUGAAGAUGCUAUCGCAAGUGAAAAACAUUAAUUCUAUGAAGAUGCUUUGUCCGCAUGCAUUUUUUCAGAGCGUUGGCCUUUAAUAAAUUAUGAUGUAACUAAAUACGGCUAUAAUUACGCAACAGUCGUGACUCCAGGUGCUUAUUUUGAAUAGAAAUGAUACUGCACUAGUCCUAAACUUACUGUUACAGUGGUUGUGCAAGGAACAUCGAGAUUAUAAUGCUGCCAAUAUUCUCAGGGAUUGCCGCUGUGAUCCUAAUGUUUUAUAUUGGAUCCUCUCUGACAGAUGAAUCGGA